CUUUCUCUGCUGCCUCCUUCGGUGCGCGAUCUAUCUCCGCGCGUCGACCGCGUGCAAGCGCGAGCUAGAGAAGCGGGUCACAGAGAUCCUGGAGCACGUGACGGUGGACGACCUCCUUGUGCUUACGUUCACCUACGACGGAGAGAGGCUCUUGGAUCUGGACAGCGUGAGGAGGAUCAUAUCCGGCUUUGUGGAGAAGGAGAAGAGCACAACGGUGUUCAACGCAGGCGCCAACUUCAACGAACACUUCUCCCCCUCGAUGCAGCGCGUGGCCAAAACCAUCGACGCAUACCUCGCUGAGAUCGCCGCUUACGGCGAACUCCCCAUCUCUAAGUUCAACGGCAUCUCCAUCCUCAUUCCCGGAGGCGCUAGAAAAUCCGACGACGAUCUAUACCGUGCCGUUGAUAUCUACCUCAAGGUACACACUAUGUCAUUGUCAUCAAGUUCCCCCCAAAAGAGGGAUUAACUAAACAAGGACACCUUUUGGAAUUAAACUAAUUAACUAAUAGUCUGCAAGUUUUUUUUUUAAUCACCAUACUGAAUAACUACCAGUAUACUAACACAUUUAAAAUUAAGGUUAAAUUAUUUGAAUUAAUCUUUAAUUUAGUAUUUUAAGUUUUUUUUUUCUUUCUUUUUUUACUCACUAUCAUUCUUUCUCUUUAAGCUCUUAAAGUAAUUAAAUUGCAUAACUAGUGCUUCAAUUAUUGAAUAUCUAUCAGUUCAAUUGUUGUUAUGUCACUAACAUUCCCUAAAUAAUUUAGAAAAUUAAUUAACAUGAUAUCUAAUACUUAAAAAAUUAGUUAUGUAAUGUGUUUUACUUUAGAAAUUACCUAACAGAGAAUAACAGAGCAUUCUCAGGAUAUAAUUGAUUAUUUAUUUAUUUAUUUCAAGUAUAUAAUCAAAUAAAUACAUCAUUCUCUCUUCUAAUAGAGUAUAAAGCAUAUAUACAAAUUUCUGGAUAUUAGAAAUGAUACUUUAAAUAAUCUUUUAAUGUUAAAAAUUCUUUACAGUAACUUUGAUAUAUCAGCAAAAAAGGUUGUGCAGAAAUAAAAAGAUAUAAUGAUAAAAAAAGAGUCUAUAUAUAAAUAAUGUGCAGUUAUUAUUUUAAAAAUUUAUCUAAAUUUAUAUUUUAAAUUAUACCUAAAUUAAUAAUUAGUUAAAAAAUUGUCCAAAAUGCGAUUAACCAUACAAGUAAGUAACUUAGGAAAGGCACGAUCUAACCUAAACCUAACCAGUGAUCAAGUAACUAACUAACUAACUCCACACGCGUGUUGUUGCAGGCGCACCCGAACCUGGACGAGAUAGAGAAGGAGAAGGUGUGCAGUGUAAUGGACCCACUGAAACUAUCAUACGAGGCGCGUGUGCACGCGUCGAAGAACAAGCGGUUGCCGUUGCAGAUCGUCCUUCACGCGCUGUAUUACGACCAACUACACUU
RNAcentral lists this long non-coding RNA (1435 nucleotides) under Phaseolus vulgaris (common bean). Its description in RNAcentral is "long non-coding RNA (PVUL_LNC001882)". Lineage: Eukaryota; Viridiplantae; Streptophyta; Magnoliopsida; Fabales; Fabaceae. The record is from RNAcentral.